UCCCUCAUAGCUCAGUUGGUAAGGAAUCUGCCUACAAUGCAGGAGACCCCGGUUCGAUUCCUGGAUAGGGAA
Molecule: transfer RNA, 72 nt
Filed under: Bos taurus (domestic cattle)
Lineage: Eukaryota; Metazoa; Chordata; Mammalia; Artiodactyla; Bovidae
Also listed under: 3 other names
Rfam family: tRNA
About the family: Transfer RNA (tRNA) molecules are approximately 80 nucleotides in length. Their secondary structure includes four short double-helical elements and three loops (D, anti-codon, and T loops).
Source: Rfam by way of RNAcentral